This 390-nucleotide ribosomal RNA is filed under the name uncultured bacterium. RNAcentral describes it as "bacterial SSU rRNA". It matches the Rfam family "Bacterial small subunit ribosomal RNA", at positions 28 to 419 of the family's 1533-position model. The record is from RNAcentral.
GACGAACGCUGGCGGCGUGCUUAACACAUGCAAGUCGAGCGGUAAGGCCCUUUCGGGGGUACACGAGCGGCGAACGGGUGAGUAACACGUGGGUGACCUGCCCUCAGCUCUGGGAUAAGCCCGGGAAACUGGGUCUAAUACCGGAUAUGACUCCACGGUGCAUGUCGUGGGGUGGAAAGCCUUGUGCGGCUGAGGACGGGCCCGCGGCCUAUCAGCUUGUUGGUGGGGUGAUGGCCUACCAAGGCGACGACGGGUAGCCGACCUGAGAGGGCGACCGGCCACACUGGGACUGAGACACGGCCCAGACUCCUACGGGAGGCAGCAGUGGGGAAUCUUGCGCAAUGGGCGAAAGCCUGACGCAGCGAUGCCGCGUGAGGGAUGACGGCCUGG